GAUGAACGCUGGCGGCGUGCUUAACACAUGCAAGUCGAACGAGAAGUGAAGACGGAAACCUUCGGGCGGAAGGCUUUAUUUCGAGUGGCGGACGGGUGAGUAACGCGUGGGUAACCUGCCUCAUACAGGGGGAUAACAGUUGGAAACGACUGUUAAUACCGCAUAAGACCACAGCACCGCAUGGUGCGGGGGUAAAAACUCCGGUGGUAUGAGAUGGACCCGCGUUCGAUUAGCCAGUUGGCGGGGUAACGGCCCACCAAAGCGACGAUCGAUAGCCGAUCUGAGAGGAUGACCGGCCACAUUGGGACUGAGACACGGCCCAAACUCCUACGGGAGGCAGCAGUGGGGAAUAUUGCACAAUGGGGGAAACCCUGAUGCAGCGACGCCGCGUGAGUGAAGAAGUAUUUCGGUAUGUAAAGCUCUAUCAGCAGGGAAGAAAAUGACGGUACCUGAGUAAGAAGCCCCGGCUAACCACGUG
This 478-nucleotide ribosomal RNA is filed under the name uncultured bacterium. RNAcentral's name for it is "partial 16S ribosomal RNA". It matches the Rfam family "Bacterial small subunit ribosomal RNA", at positions 28 to 507 of the family's 1533-position model. The record is from RNAcentral.